UACAGAGGGUGCAAGCGUUAAUCGGAAUUACUGGGCGUAAAGCGCACGUAGGCGGUUUUUUAAGUCAGAUGUGAAAGCCCCGGGCUCAACCUGGGAAUUGCAUUUUAAACUGGGAAACUAGAGUGUGUGAGAGGGGGGUAGAAUUCCAAGUGUAGCGGUGAAAUGCGUAGAGAUUUGGAGGAAUACCAGUGGCGAAGGCGGCCCCCUGGCACAACACUGACGCUCAGGUGCGAAAGCGUGGGGAGCAAACAGG
RNAcentral lists this ribosomal RNA (253 nucleotides) under uncultured bacterium. Its description in RNAcentral is "partial 16S ribosomal RNA". It matches the Rfam family "Bacterial small subunit ribosomal RNA", at positions 524 to 776 of the family's 1533-position model. The record is from RNAcentral.